Colobus angolensis palliatus is the source of this 105-nucleotide small nuclear RNA. Lineage: Eukaryota; Metazoa; Chordata; Mammalia; Primates; Cercopithecidae. The record is from Ensembl.
GGGUUCAUUUCUGCAACACACCUGUCAGAAUUGGAACAGUGAGAGAAGAUAAGCAUGGCUCCCCCAUGAGAUGACAUGUCAAACUGUGAAGCAUUCCAUGUUUUU